CUUGGUCAUUUAGAGGAAGUAAAAGUCGUAACAAGGUUUCCGUAGGUGAACCUGCGGAAGGAUCAUUAAUGUAACCGGACCGGUCCUCUGCCGUCAAACGCAGCGGAUGGGAAUGGGAGAUAUCAUACACCCUAUGUUUAUUUACUUUUGUUGCUUUGGCGGGCCGUCCUUUUAGGCGUCGGCCCCGGCUGAUCGCGCCCGCCAGAGGACCCAAACUCUUUUAUCAGUGAUGUCUGAGUACUAUAAUAAUAGUUAAAACUUUCAACAACGGAUCUCUUGGUUCUGGCAUCGAUGUAGAACGCAGCGAAAUGCGAUAAGUAAUGUGAAUUGCAGAAUUCAGUGAAUCAUCGAAUCUUUGAACGCACAUUGCGCCCGCUGGUAUUCCGGCGGGCAUGCCUGUUCGAGCGUCAUUAUGACCAAUCAAGCUCUGCUUGGCCUUGGGGCCCGCUGUACCGGCGGCCCUUAAAAUCAGUGGCAGUGCCGUCUGGCUCUAAGCGUAGUAAUACUUUUCGCUACAGGGUCCAGCCGUCCACCCGCCCAGGAACCCCCAACUUUCUUAGGUUGACCUCGGAUCAGGUAGGGAUACCCGCUGAACUUAAGCAUAUCAAUAAGCGGAGGA
Molecule: ribosomal RNA, 619 nt
Filed under: uncultured fungus
Lineage: Eukaryota; Fungi
Description: eukaryotic LSU rRNA
Rfam family: 5.8S ribosomal RNA (bases 257-410)
Source: RNAcentral